UCUUCCGUUUUCGGAGGUUCUUCCUCUAAAUUCGUGGCCGAUUGUUGCGGUUCGGAUCCGAGCAGUUGGAUCUGGGGCGUGACAAUCUCACUUCGCCAAAAUACCACUUUUAUUGUUUUCACUUACGUGCAACCAAACAUGCCCUUAUAAGAACUAGAAAAAACUUCAAAAAGCCCUCAUGUGGUUUCACACUUUCUCACUUUAGUACCCUGUGGUUUAAAGUGUAUCAAUUUAGUGCCCUAUGGUUUCAUUUUUUGCUUUUUAUUAUCGAUUUCACUAUUUUUUUUCUUAAUUCAGUGACAAAGUUAAAAUUAAAGGGUACUAAAGUGAAUAUUCGAUAAACCUAGGUGGGUAUCUAAACUUUUUUGUAUAUAAUUUAACGAAAUAUUAACGAAAAAAUUGCCGAAAAGAUAAAAAUAAAACAACAUGGCACCAAAUUGAUACACUUUAAACCACAGGAUACUAAAGUGAGAAAGUGCGAAACCACAGGGGGUUUUUAAGUUUUUCCUAAAAAC
This 515-nucleotide long non-coding RNA is filed under the name Ananas comosus (pineapple). RNAcentral's name for it is "long non-coding RNA (ACOM_LNC042059)". Lineage: Eukaryota; Viridiplantae; Streptophyta; Magnoliopsida; Poales; Bromeliaceae. The record is from RNAcentral.